RNAcentral lists this ribosomal RNA (390 nucleotides) under uncultured bacterium. Its description in RNAcentral is "bacterial SSU rRNA". It matches the Rfam family "Bacterial small subunit ribosomal RNA", at positions 28 to 418 of the family's 1533-position model. The record is from RNAcentral.
GACGAACGCUGGCGGCGUGCUUAACACAUGCAAGUCGAGCGGUAAGGCCCUUUCGGGGGUACGACGAGCGGCGAACGGGUGAGUAACACGUGGGUGACCUGCCCUCAGCUCUGGGAUAAGCCUGGGAAACCGGGUCUAAUACUGGAUAUGACUCCAUGACGCAUGUUGUGGGGUGGAAAGCCUUGUGCGGCUGAGGAUGGGCCCGCGGCCUAUCAGCUUGUUGGUGGGGUGANGGCCUACCAAGGCGACGACGGGUAGCCGGCCUGAGAGGGCGACCGGCCACACUGGGACUGAGACACGGCCCAGACUCCUACGGGAGGCAGCAGUGGGGAAUCUUGCGCAAUGGGCGAAAGCCUGACGCAGCGACGCCGCGUGAGGGAUGACGGCCGU